UACGUAGGGUGCGAGCGUUAAUCGGAAUUACUGGGCGUAAAGCGUGCGCAGGCGGUUCGUUGUGUCGGUGGUGAAAGCCCCGGGCUUAACCUGGGAAUGGCCAUGGAAACUGGCGAACUGGAGUGUGGCAGAGGGGGGUGGAAUUCCGCGUGUAGCAGUGAAAUGCGUAGAUAUCGUGAGGAAGACCAGUGGCGAAGGCGGGUCUCUGGACAGUUCCUGACGCUGAGACACGAAGGCCAGGGGAGCAAACGGG
RNAcentral lists this ribosomal RNA (253 nucleotides) under uncultured bacterium. RNAcentral's name for it is "partial 16S ribosomal RNA". It matches the Rfam family "Bacterial small subunit ribosomal RNA", at positions 524 to 776 of the family's 1533-position model. The record is from RNAcentral.